AUACAGAGGGUGCGAGCGUUAAUCGGAAUUACUGGGCGUAAAGCGCGCGUAGGCGGCUUAUUAAGUCAGAUGUGAAAUCCCCGGGCUCAACCUGGGAACUGCAUCUGAUACUGGUAAGCUAGAGUUUGGGAGAGGGAAGUAGAAUUUCAGGUGUAGCGGUGAGAUGCAUAGAGAUCUGAAGGAAUACCAGUGGCGAAGGCGACUUCCUGGCCUAAAACUGACGCUGAGGUGCGAAAGCGUGGGUAGCAGACGGGAUUAGAAACCCCAGUAGUCC
Molecule: ribosomal RNA, 274 nt
Filed under: uncultured bacterium
Lineage: Bacteria
Description: partial 16S ribosomal RNA
Rfam family: Bacterial small subunit ribosomal RNA
Source: RNAcentral